GACAGAGGUGCCGAGCGUUAGGCGGAAUCACUGGGCUUAAAGCGUGUGUAGGCGGGGCGUUAAGUGUCUUGUGAAAUCCCACGGCUCACCCGUGGAACUGCUGGACAUACUGGCGCUCUUGAGCCACUUAGGGGCAACUGGAACAAACGGUGGAGCGGUGAAAUGCGUAGAUAUCGUUUGGAACGCCUAUGG
This 192-nucleotide ribosomal RNA is filed under the name uncultured prokaryote. Its description in RNAcentral is "partial 16S ribosomal RNA". It matches the Rfam family "Bacterial small subunit ribosomal RNA", at positions 524 to 715 of the family's 1533-position model. The record is from RNAcentral.